This 1339-nucleotide ribosomal RNA is filed under the name uncultured organism. RNAcentral describes it as "16S ribosomal RNA". It matches the Rfam family "Bacterial small subunit ribosomal RNA", at positions 135 to 1484 of the family's 1533-position model. The record is from RNAcentral.
ACUUGGGGAUAACUUCAGGAAACUGGGGCUAAUACCGGAUAGGAGCUCCUGCUGCAUGGUGGGGGUUGGAAAGUUUCGGCGGUUGGGGAUGGACUCGCGGCUUAUCAGCUUGUUGGUGGGGUAGUGGCUUACCAAGGCUUUGACGGGUAGCCGGCCUGAGAGGGUGACCGGCCACAUUGGGACUGAGAUACGGCCCAGACUCCUACGGGAGGCAGCAGUGGGGAAUAUUGCACAAUGGGCGGAAGCCUGAUGCAGCAACGCCGCGUGCGGGAUGACGGCCUUCGGGUUGUAAACCGCUUUCGCCUGUGACGAAGCGUGAGUGACGGUAAUGGGUAAAGAAGCACCGGCUAACUACGUGCCAGCAGCCGCGGUGAUACGUAGGGUGCGAGCGUUGUCCGGAUUUAUUGGGCGUAAAGGGCUCGUAGGUGGUUGAUCGCGUCGGAAGUGUAAUCUUGGGGCUUAACCCUGAGCGUGCUUUCGAUACGGGUUGACUUGAGGAAGGUAGGGGAGAAUGGAAUUCCUGGUGGAGCGGUGGAAUGCGCAGAUAUCAGGAGGAACACCAGUGGCGAAGGCGGUUCUCUGGGCCUUUCCUGACGCUGAGGAGCGAAAGCGUGGGGAGCGAACAGGCUUAGAUACCCUGGUAGUCCACGCUGUAAACGGUGGGUACUAGGUGUGGGGUCCAUUCCACGGGUUCCGUGCCGUAGCUAACGCUUUAAGUACCCCGCCUGGGGAGUACGGCCGCAAGGCUAAAACUCAAAGGAAUUGACGGGGUCCCGCACAAGCGGCGGAGCAUGCGGAUUAAUUCGAUGCAACGCGUAGAACCUUACCUGGGUUUGACAUGGAUCGGGAGUGCUCAGAGAUGGGUGUGCCUCUUUUGGGGUCGGUUCACAGGUGGUGCAUGGCUGUCGUCAGCUCGUGUCGUGAGAUGUUGGGUUAAGUCCCGCAACGAGCGCAACCCUUGUUCACUGUUGCCAGCACGUUAUGGUGGGGACUCAGUGGAGACCGCCGGGGUCAACUCGGAGGAAGGUGGGGAUGACGUCAAGUCAUCAUGCCCCUUAUGUCCAGGGCUUCACGCAUGCUACAAUGGCUGGUACAGAGAGUGGCGAGCCUGUGAGGGUGAGCGAAUCUCGGAAAGCCGGUCUCAGUUCGGAUUGGGGUCUGCAACUCGACCUCAUGAAGUCGGAGUCGCUAGUAAUCGCAGAUCAGCAACGCUGCGGUGAAUACGUUCCCGGGGCUUGUACACACCGCCCGUCAAGUCAUGAAAGUUGGUAACACCCGAAGCCGGUGGCCUAACCGUUGUGGGGGAGCCGUCGAAGGUGGGACUGGUGAUUAGGACUAA